This 429-nucleotide ribosomal RNA is filed under the name bacterium. RNAcentral describes it as "partial 16S ribosomal RNA". It matches the Rfam family "Bacterial small subunit ribosomal RNA", at positions 356 to 776 of the family's 1533-position model. The record is from RNAcentral.
UGGGAAUUGUUCGCAAUGGGCGCAAGCCUGACGACGCAACGCCGCGUGGAGGAUGAAGACCUUCGGGUCGUAAACUCCUUUCGAUCGAGACGAAUGGCCUCCGGGUGAAUAAUCCGGAGGAGUGACGGUACCGAGAGAAGAAGCCCCGGCUAACUCCGUGCCAGCAGCCGCGGUAAUACGGGGGGGGCAAGCGUUGUUCGGAAUUACUGGGCGUAAAGGGCUCGUAGGUGGCCAACUAAGUCAGACGUGAAAUCCCUCGGCUUAACCGGGGAACUGCAUCUGAUACUGGAUGGCUUGAGUUUGGGUGAGGGACGCGGAAUUCCAGGUGUAGCGGUGAAAUGCGUAGAUAUCUGGAGGAACACCGGUGGCGAAGGCGGCGUCCUGGACCAAUACUGACACUGAUGAGCGAAAGCCAGGGGAGCAAACGGG